Long non-coding RNA from Papaver somniferum (opium poppy), 413 nucleotides. RefSeq lists it as uncharacterized. The record is from RefSeq and is a predicted model, not a curated record. NCBI's taxonomy places the organism in Eukaryota, Viridiplantae, Streptophyta, Magnoliopsida, Ranunculales, Papaveraceae. The transcript has 2 exons.
ACGCUUGAGUGCAAAUCCAAGCCUGAUUCCUUUUUUGAUGUUUUUGGAUGUUGUUUCUCUGCUAUUUUUGUCUUUUGUUAGUGGAUGCUUACGAUUCAAUAUCAUCGUUUUGCAUAUAUAAUGAAAACUUAAUUGUUUGGCAUUGAUCCUCUCCUAUGAAGACUGCUCGGGUGAUGGUUUCAUUUGACAAUCAUUAUUCUGGGUUACUUUUAUUAAUUUGAUGUACACUGAAGUUCCUAAGAAGACAUGUAGGGCUUUUUAUUUUAUUUUGUUUUGAUUUUCAUUUUUUAAUUACAGUAUUAGUGGGUUGUAAUUGUAAAAUAGGGUGGCCUUUCGUUCUUUUCAUGUUACCUGUGCUUUUGUAUAUGAGCAGGCACAACAUUUACAACAAUAAAUUUGGUACUUUUUUCCUA